GUUUCUGUAGCAUAGUGCUUAUUAUGUUUGCCUAACACGCAAAAGAUCCUCAGUUCAAAACCAGGUAGAAACA
Non-coding RNA from Podarcis lilfordi (Lilford's wall lizard), 73 nucleotides. NCBI's taxonomy places the organism in Eukaryota, Metazoa, Chordata, Lepidosauria, Squamata, Lacertidae. The record is from the annotation of a GenBank genome assembly.